UUGUCAGGAUCGGGAGAAUCCGGCGGGGGUCACUCACCUCGGAGCCGGUGCCGAAGGAGCAACCGCCCCGGUAAACUCUCAGGCGACAGGACCGUCCUGGCAG
This 103-nucleotide non-coding RNA is filed under the name Rhodobacterales bacterium. RNAcentral's name for it is "Glycine sequence". It matches the Rfam family "Glycine riboswitch aptamer". Rfam says of the family: This family represents the bacterial glycine riboswitch. Glycine riboswitches usually consist of two metabolite-binding aptamers domains with similar structures in tandem. The aptamers cooperatively bind glycine to regulate the expression of downstream genes. Lineage: Bacteria; Pseudomonadati; Pseudomonadota; Alphaproteobacteria; Rhodobacterales. The record is from RNAcentral.